UACGUAGGGUGCAAGCGUUGUCCGGAAUUAUUGGGCGUAAAGAGCUCGUAGGCGGCUUGUCGCGUCGACCGUGAAAACUUGGGGCUCAACCCCAAGCCUGCUUCCGAUACGGGCAGACUAGAGGUAUGCAGGGGAGAACGGAAUUCCCGGUGUAGCGGUGAAAUGCGCAGAUAUCGGGAGGAACACCGGUGGCGAAGGCGGAUCUCUGGGCCAUUACUGACGCUGAGGAGCGAAAGCGUGGGGAGCGAACGAGG
RNAcentral lists this ribosomal RNA (254 nucleotides) under uncultured bacterium. RNAcentral describes it as "partial 16S ribosomal RNA". It matches the Rfam family "Bacterial small subunit ribosomal RNA", at positions 524 to 777 of the family's 1533-position model. The record is from RNAcentral.